AUUUGUUUAGCACUGGUUCUGGAAGUGGAAGCCACGUUGUGUUACAGAAUCAUGGACAACUGACAGAUGCUAGAAUGGGCUAGAGUGGAUGAGAGUAGUGGCGGUGGGAGCGUGUCAAUGGGCCAGAAUGCUCUGUAAAUUGUUUGACAUUGUCUUGCAUUCACUCAUGCAGUCACUCAUUCUACACAUAUUUAUUAGGGCUCACUCUGAGCCAACCCAUAUAACCAAAGGGUGAAUCUGGGCUCUGGAGAACUGGCUAUUGGAAACCUACCCCGGUCUUCCUGUUCUUUAGUUACUGCUUCCUGCUAGGGCUUUAGGAUCUACUUCUCUCUUCCAGAAAGUAGGUAGCAUAGUUGAGCAAUUAAGAAGAGAGGCUGUCAAUGAACCCUAUCUGUAUUUUGUCUGGGUGACUUGGUCAAGUUAUUCCAUUUCUCUGAACCUGUUCCCUCAUGAGUAAAAAAUCCAGAGUUGAAACACCUCCUUGGAGGGCUGUUGGGUGGAUUAAAUGAAACAAUGCAUGUAAAAGAAUUGGCAUGGUUCCUUGCACGUAGGAAGCCUUAGAUAAAGUGUUAUUGUUAACAACUCAGAAGCCACAUGGUGAUUACGGCUCUAAAAGGAAUGAAAUCUCAGGGGUUCCGUAACCUUUCAGAAAAAUGAGGGCUCUCUUGGGCUGAAAUUCUGAAUGCUGGCUCUUGCUGCAAAGGUGGAUUGACUACUAAAGUGAUUCAUUUGGAUAAUAAGGGGUCAACACACACAUAUUCAGAGGAGUCCUCAGUGGUCAAGAGGAAACCAACCAAUGACAGCAAACUCUCCUAGAGAUGUGAAGAUGUAUGUGGAGUGGAGAGCAUUUCAGUUCUGCUGUAUGUCUCCAGGAAACCACUGGUUCCUGAAGAAACAGAAGACAAGACGGGGGACAGGGGCUGAAGAGACACUCACCACCUGCUGGGGAGGUUCCAUUCCUAUGAGUAAUUGGAAAACGUCCGAAAAACCCCUUAUUGGGAAGGGAUAUUAAAGCUACUUGUAAACAACACAAACAGAUCUGAAGGCAGCCAAUAGUCUGGGGCUGGCCAGCUGUUCAUUUUCAUAAAGGGCAACAUAAUUUUCAGCUUAGGGUUUUAAUGGCAGUUUAUGCCUGAUGCCAUAAAGCCCUGUAUCCAAAGUGCUCCCCUGAGGAAGAGAAAGAAAGGUGUGCAAAGCACAAGGAUAUUGUCGAUACCUAAUGUACUGAAUGGUCCCCAGUCCUCAAACUCAUACCUAACCUUAUUGCAUUCUCAAUGAAAAUGGUCCUGGCUCAUUAAGGAAAACAAUCAAUGGCCUUACUGAAGCCCAGCAUGCAUAUGUCUGAACCAGAAUAAAAAUGAGAGUUGCUUACAUA
Manis javanica (Malayan pangolin) is the source of this 1375-nucleotide long non-coding RNA. RefSeq lists it as uncharacterized. Lineage: Eukaryota; Metazoa; Chordata; Mammalia; Pholidota; Manidae. The record is from RefSeq and is a predicted model, not a curated record.